AGUGGCUGGAGUGCACGGUGUCUGUCCGUGUUUAGCACUGCUGCCCUUCUGUGUCUUACAGUUGGUGCAGCAGUGCUCACUCCACACUUGCAGCCAUAGACACACUGGAGAUCAUAGUACUGGUCUAGUGACGUCUUCCUGACAUCCCACCACUGACCAGCCUCCAUACUCUCCUACAACA
This is a small nucleolar RNA of Scleropages formosus (Asian bonytongue), 181 nucleotides long. Ensembl annotates it as small nucleolar RNA SNORA23. Its record names the gene SNORA23. Lineage: Eukaryota; Metazoa; Chordata; Actinopteri; Osteoglossiformes; Osteoglossidae. The record is from Ensembl.